This is a long non-coding RNA of Anguilla rostrata (American eel), 1090 nucleotides long. RefSeq lists it as uncharacterized. NCBI's taxonomy places the organism in Eukaryota, Metazoa, Chordata, Actinopteri, Anguilliformes, Anguillidae. The record is from RefSeq and is a predicted model, not a curated record. The transcript is spliced from 3 exons.
ACUCAGACAUGUUGGCUUUUUAUUUGUUUCACUCUCUGUGGAAAGAAAACAGGAGGAGACCGUUUAAUUUAAUUCAAGCAUGUCAGAUCUUUUGGCACACAGCUUCAUUGUAGGAGCUGCUGAAGUGAGAAAACUCUCAAACUGUCAUCUUUAUAAGUAGUUAAAGAAAAAAAAAGGACAAAACACAGCUUUAAGGGUAUUCAAUCGCCUGAGCAAAUUUACAAGAUAGCAGCAACAUGUUCUCUGCAUAAGAAAGAACACUUUCAGUUUUUUUGAACAGCAGUAAGGCAUGCAAGGCUGGGGAACAUGUCUGAAACACUGUCGCCAAGGCGAUGGGGGCUGCACUCACCAUACACCAUUAAAUAUGAGAAAUCUCCAUCUCGCUUUCCACUGGUAUCUAAGCACAACCUGCCUCACAAUGAAUGCUACUGCAGCUCCUGUUUCAUGGUAUUUUGGAAGCAAGCCCAUCAUCACACUCAGGUAAAAAUGGUAGGCAAAUGGGAUUAAAUAAAAGAAAAAUUAGGAAACUGAUCAUCUGGCACCCAGGGAAUCUCACGAGAAAAGCUUACAGAAUGACACAUUAUAUUGUGAAUGCACCACCAACCUGUUUCAUUAUUACUUUGUUUACUUUGUUUAUCAAAUAAGUUAUACAUGUAUAACUUAUUUCACACAGCAUUAUUGUGAUUAUUUAAACUACAAUAUGUUAUGUUAAUUAUGAAAGACAGAAAUGGGUUCAUAUUUUUGGUCAUUAACAAUAAUUCUGAACUUCAUUUCAUGAUAGAUCAAGUCAGUAUCAGUAUAUUGCUAUCAUUUGUAUCUAUCAUAUGUUUUUGGUUUUGAUUUGAUUGAUGGCAAUCAAAAAAUCUGAGUACAAAUUGUCUUGACGUAAAGAGUUGUCUUGAAUUUACAGAAGAGAAGUUAGUAAUGGUAAUAGUUAAUUAAUAUUAAAUUUUAAAAAUUGUUUUGUUUUAUCACUACAUAAAACAAAGAUGUUCCAAAGAUGUACACACUCAAACACACACAGGCAGAUCCCUGACACACACGGAACUCAGAACAGUUCCUCACCUCAAGUGAAUAAACAUGCUAUAAU